This is an RNA transcript of Balaenoptera ricei (Rice's whale), 5602 nucleotides long. It is a transcript of the gene named acyl-CoA thioesterase 9, with no coding region annotated. The record is from RefSeq and is a predicted model, not a curated record. NCBI's taxonomy places the organism in Eukaryota, Metazoa, Chordata, Mammalia, Artiodactyla, Balaenopteridae. The transcript is spliced from 19 exons.
GCCUUCCUGAAAGCCCGACCUCGGAGCCUAAGCGUCCCCUAGUAACCUUCGCAAAAAGGAAGAGAGGGGUUCCCCUUUUGGCCCUGGACCAGUGACUUUGCUGUUUCUUCCUUGGAGAGACCUGGCUUUGGGCGAUGGGGGGAUAAGGGGAUUGGAGCAGUGGCUCUCGUAGGGUGGUCUGAGGGGCCCUGUGGGUCCGAAGAUCCUUUCAAAACUAGUUUCAUAGUAAUGGUAGGAUUUCGUUUCCCUUUCUUACUCUCACUGAAAUUUUCCAGAGAACUGAUGUGUGAUGACGUCAUCGCUCUCAUGACUAAAGGAAUGUGUGCUUGUAUUGUGUUUUCUAGAAUUUCCUAAGCUUUCCGAAUGUUCCACAUUUGUUGAAAACUACAAACAAACAUAUCCAAGAAUCCCAGUGAAUGCCAAGCAGCAUAAACACAAAGAAAACCACAUCAAGGCACUGCAGAAUCAAAUUUCUCAAAACUAGUGAUACAGAGAAAAUCUUAAGUCUAAUCACUGGUUUCUCAUCAAAAACAAUGCAAACCAGAAGAUGGUGGAACAACAUCUUUAAAGCAUUGGAAGAAUGCUUUCAACCCAGAAUUUUAUAUCCAGUGAAAAUGUCAUUCAAAGAUGAAGGCAAAAUAAAGACAUUUCAGAUAAGCUAAAGCCAAGAGCAUUCAUCACUAGUGACCUUGUACCACAAGGAAUGCUAAAAGAAGUUCUUCAGGUUAAAGGAAAAGGAUACCAGAUGGACACAAGAAUCUAUGCAAAGGAAUGAAGAGUACCAGAAAUGUUUUCUGACAUCAGAAGUGGGAUCCAAAGAAGAUCCUCAACAACUCUGAGGCCAGUGAGCAACCACGUGCUGGUACCCACUGGGCCCAUUGAGCUCACCACUGUCUUGCCAACCUUGCAGUCAGCCUGAAUGCUGCUCUCUUUGCAUGUUGAGCUCUUGGAAUUUAUUGUGCAUACCUGUAUUCUGUUUGUUGAAGCUUCUUGAAGAAGAAAGGAAAAAGAAGAAGGCAAAACCUAAAUGGAUAUAGAAAGAUGCAAAAGGCUUUGUACCCUGAGCAAAGGGCUGCUUGCUCCCAGCAGAGGACUGACUCAAGGAUCUCAGAAUCCCGAGAAACAGAGAGUCUUCCACAUUCAUGAAGUUCGAGAUAAGUUGCGGGAGAUAGUAGGAGCAUCCACAAACUGGAGAGACCACGUGAAAGCAAUGGAGGAAAGAAAAUUACUUCAUAGUUUUUUGGCUACGUCACAGAAAGGACUGCCACCUAGGAGAAUGAAAGACAGUUACAUUGAAGUUCUCUUACCUUUGGGCAGUCAGCCUGAAUUACGAGAGAAAUAUUUGACUGUUCAAAACACUGUAAGGUUUGGCAGGAUUCUUGAGGAUCUUGACAGCUUAGGAGUUCUUAUUUGCUACAUGCACAACAAAAUUCAUUCAGCUAAGAUGUCUCCUUUAUCGAUAGUUACAGCCCUGGUGGACAGGAUUGAUAUGUGUAAGAAAUGCUUAAGCCCAGAACAGGACAUCAAGUUCAGUGGCCAUGUUAGUUGGGUUGGGAAGACGUCCAUGGAAGUGAAGAUGCAUAUGUUCCAGUUACACGACAAUGAAUUUUCCCCUGUUUUGGAUGCGACAUUUGUAAUGGUGGCUCGUGAUUCGGAAAACAAAGGGCCGGCAUUUGUUAAUCCACUCACCCUUGAAAGCCCAGAGGAAGAAGAGCUCUUUAGACAAGGAGAAUUGAACAAGGGGACAAGGGUCGCCUUCAGCUCCAUGUCAUUACUGAAAAUGGCUCCCACUGCUGAGGAGAGGACAACCAUACAUGAGAUGUUUCUUAACACGCUGGAUCCAAAGACUAUAAGUUUUCGAAGUCGAGUUUUGCCUCCUAAUGCAGUGUGGAUGGAGAAUUCAAAACUGAAGAGCUUGGAUAUUUGCCACCCUCAGGAGCGGAACAUUUUCAAUCGAAUCUUUGGUGGUUUCCUUAUGAGGAGAGCGUAUGAACUUGGAUGGGCUACUGCUUGUAACUUCGGUGGUUCCCGACCAUUUAUAGUCACCGUGGAUGAUAUCAUGUUUCAGAAACCUGUUGAGGUUGGAUCAUUGCUGUUUCUUUCUUCGCAGGUUUGCUUUACUCAGGGAAAUUACAUUCAAGUCAGAGUACACAGUGAGGUGGCCUCUCUACAGGAUAAAGAGCAUAUGACCACCAAUGUCUUUCAUUUCACGUUCAUGUCGGAAAAAGAAGUGCCCUUGGUUUUCCCCAGAACAUAUGGAGAGUCCAUGUUGUAUUUAGAUGGGCAGCGGCAUUUCAGCUCCAUGAGUGCACCAGUGACCUUGAAAAAGGACUACCUCAUCAAGCCCUAGGAAGACCGCGUUUGUUGAAGGCCAGUGCCCCACAGUGACACAGUGUCUGAUGAAGGCCUGAGCAAGUAUAUUGCUCUUAGUGUUUAUUCUCAUCCUCCAUAGCGAAGAAGGAUGUAUUCAGCUUUUAGGUUGAUCAGAAAAGUAGAAUGAGAGAAUGGCUGGCUGGGUGGGGCAGAGGGGGAAAGAAUUAUUGAAUAAUAAAUACUUUCAAGACAGUUUAAAUUGUGAACCUACCACGUUUCCUCCUGUCUACUCAGGAAAUGAGGGCUGAAUGCCUUUUUAUGUGAGUGGACACAUUCUUUUCUUACACAUAUUGCAACCAUCAAUCUACAUGGUUUCCUGCCAGGGCAUUUGGAGGGCAUUCUUUAAACCUGACCUUUACUGCAAUUCCCCUGUAUUAUUUAAAUCCCAUCAACCCUAUGUGAUUCCUUUGUAUUUUUGCCUCCUUCUAUUUUCCAGCUUUUGUUGUUAGCAGAGGGUAGAUGAAAAGUUGUAGUGAAGGGAUUCAACAAAAGACACAGCAUUUGUAAGGAUUUGUGGGAAGCUUUAGAUCUGAAACCAUACCAAGGAAACACAAAAGACCCCGAAUAGCCAAAGCAAUCUUGAGAAAGAAAAAUGGAGCUGGAGGAAUCAAGCUCCCCGACUUCAAACUAUACUACAAAGCUACAGUGAUCAAGAUGGUAUGGUACUGGCACAAAAAUAGAAAUGUAGAUCAAUGGAACAGGAUAGAAAGCCCAGAGAUAAACCCACGCACAUAUGGUCACCUUAUCUUUGAUAAAGGAGGCAAGAAUAUACAGUGGAGAAGACAGUCUCUUCAAUAAGUGGUGCUGGGAAAACUGGACAGCUACAUGUAAAAGUAUGAAAUUAGAACACUGCCUAACACCAUACACAAAAAUAAACUCAAAAUGGAUUAAAGACCUAAAUGUAAGGCCAGACACUAUCAAACUCUUAGAGGAAAACAUAGGCAGAACACUCUAUGACAUAAAUCACAGCAAGAUCCUUUUUCACCCACCUCAUAGAGAAAUGGAAAUAAAAACAAAAGUAAACAAAUGGGACCUAAUGAAACUUAAAAGCUUUUGCACAGCAAAGGAAACCAUAAACAAGACGAAAAGACAAGCUUCAGAAUGGGAGAAAAUAUUUGCAAAUGAAACAAUGGACAAAGGAUUAAUCUCCAAAAUAUACAAAUGGCUCAUGGAGCUCAAUAUCAAAAAAACAAACAACCGAAUUAAAAAAUGGGUGGAAGACCUAAAUAGACAUUUCACCAAAGAAGACAUACAGAUGGCCAAGAGGCACAUGAAAAGAUGCUCAACAUCACUAAUUAUUAGAGAAAUGCAAAUCAAAACUACAAUGAGGUAUCACCUCACACCGGUCAGAAUGCCCAUUAUCAAAAAAUCUAGAAACAGUAAAUGCUGGAGAGAGUGUGGUGAAAAGGGAACCCUCCCGCACUGUUGGUGGGAAUGUAAAUUGAUACAGUCACUAUGGAGAACAGUAUGGAGGUUCCUUAAAAAACUAAAAAUAGAACUACCAUAUGACCCAGCAAUCCCACUCCUGGGCAUAUACCCUGAGAAAACCAUAAUUCAAAAAGAGACAUGUACCACAAUGUUCAUUGCAGCACUAUUUACAACAGCCAGGACAUGGAAGCAACCUAAGUGUCCAUCGACAGAUGAAUGGAUAAGGAAGAUGUGGCACAUAUAUACAAUGGAAUAUUACUCAGCCAUAAAAAGAAACGAAAUUGAGUUAUUUGUAGUGAGGUGGAUGGACCUAGAGACUGUCAUACGGAAUGAAGAUCUUAGUUCCCUGACCAGGGAUUGAACCUGGGGCACGACAGUGAAAGCCCGGAAUCCUAACCACCAGGCCACCAGGGAACUCCCAUUGUUAAUGUAAACAUGUAAGUUGUUACUUAUAAAUUUAGUACAAGCUGUAAAUGUAAAUUUAGAAAAAAGGAGGAACCAAGGGGCUUUAUGUUGUAUACAGAGUCUGGGGUCCACCGUCCCUACCAGAUGCUAUAGAAGGUGACUGUGCUCACAACCUAUUCUUUCCUGCCACCUGCAAAGGUACAGAGAGGUGAGCCACAGUGGAGUGGUAACAGCCCCGAAACUAGAAAUUAGCCUGUCUGGGUUCAAAGACUGAGUCUACCUUUGCUAGCUAGCUGUUUCCUUAUCUGUAAAAUAAAGAAUUCAAAGAGUUGCUGUGAGAAUUAAGUGAAAUAAUGCACCUAACCUCCUAACACAAUGCCUGGUAGAUGGCAUGUACUCCAUAAAUGUUAGUUACUACUCUUGUUACUAGUUUGAGUCAGUCUGACAUUUUUGUAUUUUGGAAAGAUAGAGAAUAACUGCCUACCUUUUGGCAUCAGUGUCUACCAAACACUAAAUAUCUUUGGACCCUGACAUGGAUUUUUAUAUUAUUCAAGAAAUUACUACUGCAACACAAUGUGGUAAUAAAACAGUGAACUUUACUGAGAAGUUUCAAGCAUCAUGACCUGAGGAAGUAUUCUUCAGUUCAGUUUAUCAAAAUAUUUGAGCUUUCCAGCUGGAUCUGGAAUUAUCUGUUAAAGAAAAAAAGCAAAUUAUUCAUUUUAAAAGCCAAAGUAUAUCAACAGUAGUCUGACAUUAGUUGCUUAUCUCUUGACUAAAGGUAAAGAUUAUUUUGUGUACCAAAUUAUAUCAUAUAUAUUUAGGAAAAACUGGAUUUGUCCUGCUAAUCUCAGCUAUCCCAGAAGGCAGAUAAUUUGCUAGUAAAUUAACAUCUGUACUCAAGCACCCUCAAAUUUACUUACAGCUCUUCUCUUUGCCACCAGGCUUUCAUGGCAUCUUCAGGUAUGGUCUAAUUAAAUCAAACAUGUUAAGAGAGCAUGGCUACAGAUGUUAAUGUAUUUUAAAAAUCAUCUGCUGAUGAAGUGAUGGUAUGCUACAACCUGAAAAGGGGGCAGUGGGUCCAAAUGGAUUGCUUGGAGGUCCAGAACUGUAACCUUUUAAUCUCAAACCGCAAAGUGAAAGAAGUACUCUAAAAACAACAUGAGUGCCUAUUUAGUGAAUGGACAAAUGCUCUGGAAGAAAAAGUGUUCCCUCCUAGAGCAUUACAGCCUUAGAAACCUCCUAGGUUUCUCAUUUCUCACAUUAACUGUUACUUGCUAGUUACAGGUAAAGUACAUCUAUCCCUAUAUAAAAAUAUAACCUUGUAAUUUAUUGUAAUCAGCUUAUGAUAGUUCUAUAUGCAUUUUCUUCAGCAUAAAAUAAAUGUUACCUAAUUUCA